This 66-nucleotide transfer RNA is filed under the name Crassostrea sp. DB1. RNAcentral's name for it is "tRNA-Arg". Lineage: Eukaryota; Metazoa; Mollusca; Bivalvia; Ostreida; Ostreidae. The record is from RNAcentral.
UGGUAAGAAGUGAAAUUUAUCACGUUUGGUUUCGGCCCAAAUUGUGUCGUGUAUCGACCUUGCUAU